Molecule: long non-coding RNA, 781 nt
Filed under: Helianthus annuus (common sunflower)
Lineage: Eukaryota; Viridiplantae; Streptophyta; Magnoliopsida; Asterales; Asteraceae
Description: sRNA HanXRQr2_Chr09g0406611
Source: RNAcentral
UUUUAGCGGCGACAUCUAAAAAGUCGCCGCUAAAAGUCUUAAUCCGGGACAAGGGAUUUAGAAUUGAUCUGGACCGUUCUUUACUGAACUAAUCGAAGGGCUAGGGUUUAUCCCUACAUAAAACAUGUGUAAAAAGGCUCACAUCUGUUUUGGCGGCAUUUUUCCCUCUUCCCUCCAAGAUGAAAUCUUCACACACCCCUGGAGGACAACCUUGAAUCUGCCGGAGAGCCUCACCACCUUCAAUCUGCCAUAGCACCUCCAUCUCGUCUUGCUGAUUGUCCGACGCCCUUUGAAAACGGGAAUGGUGUGCAAUGUCGGUCAACAUGUCAUGUCACCGUUAACGCCCCAAAUGUUAGAGUACAUCCAACGCCCAUUUAUUAACACAAGGAAGGAGUGGUGUGCAAUGCCGGUCAACAUAUCAUGUCACCGUUAACACCAUAAAUGUUAGAGUACAUCCAAAGGCGUUAUAAGAACUUGUGGAAAAAAUCAUUAUGAGAACAAGUACCUAGCAAGCAUGAAACAAUAGUUUUUGGUCCUAACCUUAUUAAGAGCUACCUAAACUAAACCCAAGAUUGCUUCUUGCAUUGAACCGUUGCAACAACAGAACAGAAUUCAAUACAACAACCUCGAUUGGCUUAUUAUAUAGAAAUAAGGACCGCAAUUACAAACACGAUUAGCAUGAAGGGGCGCCAAGAUUUGAGGCAAGCCGUAACAGGUCACUGAAAACACCACCAGCUGUUACUUCUGCUCCGGCUCCCGGACCGCGAACGAUUAGAGGUUG